Molecule: ribosomal RNA, 392 nt
Filed under: uncultured bacterium
Lineage: Bacteria
Description: partial 16S ribosomal RNA
Rfam family: Bacterial small subunit ribosomal RNA
Source: RNAcentral
AUACGUAGGUGGCAAGCGUUGUCCGGAUUUAUUGGGUUUAAAGGGUGCGCAGGCGGCCAUUUAAGUCAGCGGUUAAAUCGUGGGGCUCAACCCCAUUCUGCCGUUGAUACUGGGUGGCUUGAUUGCGGUCGAGGUUGGCGGAAUUCGUUGUGUAGCGGUGAAAUGCAUAGAUAUGACGAAGAACACCGAUUGCGUAGGCAGCUGACCAGACCGCAAAUGACGCUCAUGCACGAAAGUGCGGGGAUCGAACAGGAUUAGAUACCCUGGUAGUCCGCACAGUAAACGAUGAAUACUUGUUUUCGGCGAUAUAAUGUCGGAGGCAAAGCGAAAGCGAUAAGUAUUCCACCUGGGGAGUACGCCGGCAACGGUGAAACUCAAAUGAAUUGACGGGG